CCUACGGGAGGCAGCAGUGGGGAAUAUUGGACAAUGGGCGCAAGCCUGAUCCAGCCAUGCCGCGUGAGUGAUGAAGGCCUUAGGGUUGUAAAACUCUUUUGCCAGGGAAGAUAAUGACUGUACCUGGAGAAUAAGCCCCGGCUAACUUCGUGCCAGCAGCCGCGGUAAUACGAAGGGGGCUAGCGUUGUUCGGAAUCACUGGGCGUAAAGCGCACGUAGGCGGACUUUUAAGUCAGGGGUGAAAGCCUGAGGCUCAACCUCAGAACUGCCCUUGAUACUGGGAGUCUUGAGUAUGGUAGAGGUUGGUGGAACAGCAAGUGUAGAGGUGAAAUUCGUAGAUAUUUGCUAGAACACCAGUGGCGAAGGCGGCCAACUGGACCAUAACUGACGCUGAGGUGCGAAAGCGUGGGGAGCAAACAGGAUUAGAUACCCUGGUAGUCCACGCCGUAAACGAUGGAUGCUAGCCGUUAGCCAGCUUGCUGGGUAGUGGCGCAGGUAACCCUUUAAGCAUCCCGCCUGGGGAGUACGGUCGCAAGAUUAAAACUCAAAUGAAUUGACGG
Molecule: ribosomal RNA, 560 nt
Filed under: uncultured bacterium
Lineage: Bacteria
Description: bacterial SSU rRNA
Rfam family: Bacterial small subunit ribosomal RNA
Source: RNAcentral